Non-coding RNA from Paramisgurnus dabryanus, 957 nucleotides. NCBI's taxonomy places the organism in Eukaryota, Metazoa, Chordata, Actinopteri, Cypriniformes, Cobitidae. The record is from RefSeq and is a predicted model, not a curated record.
AAGAAGAAGAGAGCUCACGAGAUUUUGGACACAGCUGUAAGCCGGCUAGUAUCCCUUCUAGCCACUCAGUUCGUCUGAAUGGAAACUCUGAGGAGCACAAACAACUGGCUCCCUAAAAAAUGAAUUCCAUAUGGAACUUAGUGGAAGACCAUCUCCCAGAAAUGUGCAGAUGAAUGUAAGAUGUCAAAAAGGCACCACAGUCAUUGUUUGUGAAAAUUACUGCUUUGCAUUAAAAGAUAUUUCAAGCACUAAUACUCUAUUCAAAAGAGGUAAGAAAUUGUUUUGUUCAAACACAGCAUAAUUACAAAGUAUGGUUUUGCUGGGUUUUAUUUGUUUUCUUAUUAACACAAAAAACAACAUGAUUACCCUUUCUGCUUCUAGAGCCUUAGAGCUGUUCAUGUAUAACUCCGUGGUAGAGCAUUGCGUUUGCAAUGCAAAAGGUCAUUGUGGGUUUGAAACAAAUAAUAAGCAGCUUGUAAUGCACUUUAAGUUGCUUUGGAUAAAAGCAUCUCCAAAUGCAUAAAUAUUAUAUAUACACAUGAUGUAACCCCAGGUGGACCACCCAGGUGGAAACAUGUAUGCUUUAGGUGGACGGCUUUAUCCAAAGCAUAUACUUUUUAUUAGUAUGUGUGCUCCUUGGUUAUUUAGCCCAUAACCUCUUAUUUCAGCCUUGUUUGUUUUAUUUUUUAUGUAUAUACACUGUAAAAACUAACAGUGUAAGUCACUAAACGAAAUUAGUUUUUUAAACUUAUUAUUUUUUAAAGUAAAUUUCACUUAAUAAAAACUGUGAUAUGAACUCAAAAACUGCAAAUGAUUAACCAUAAAUUAAACCAAAUAAGUAAGCAACAGCCAGGACACAUAUAUGAAGAGCUAACAGGUAAGCACUACAAACUCUUUCAACCUUUUUAAAGGACAAGUUCGGUAUUUUAGACUUAAAGCCCUGUUUUCAGAUUGUUU